CCUACGGGAGGCAGCAGUGAGGAAUAUUGGUCAAUGGCCGGAAGGCUGAACCAGCCAAGCCGCGUGAAGGACGAAGGUGCCAAGCAUUGUAAACUUCUUUUGUCAAGGGACAAAAUCAGGCUCGAGAGCCUGACCGAGGGUACUUGAAGAAAAAGCAUCGGCUAACUCCGUGCCAGCAGCCGCGGUAAUACGGAGGAUGCGAGCGUUAUCCGGAUUGAUUGGGUUUAAAGGGUGCGUAGGCGGACUGUUAAGUCAGCGGUAAAAGCCCGGGGCUCAACCCCGGCGAGCCGUUGAAACUGGCUGUCUUGAGAUGUCGAGAGGUAUGCGGAAUGCGCAGUGUAGCGGUGAAAUGCUUAGAUAUUGCGCAGAACUCCGAUUGCGAAGGCAGCAUACCGGCGGCGAUCUGACGUUGAGGCACGAAAGCGUGGGUAUCGAACAGGAUUAGAUACCCGGGUAGUC
This 459-nucleotide ribosomal RNA is filed under the name uncultured bacterium. Its description in RNAcentral is "partial 16S ribosomal RNA". It matches the Rfam family "Bacterial small subunit ribosomal RNA", at positions 338 to 795 of the family's 1533-position model. The record is from RNAcentral.